GAGGACAACGACUGGGGGUGGUUCCUUACUGGGAGAACAAAAAACCAAGCUAUCAUCAACCUGAGCACACUUAAGCAGACCAAUCCCUCACUACUACACUUAAGCAACCUGAACUUGUUUACUCCACUAGACAGAUAGUAUAGUCACCUUCAGGCAUUAAUUUUUUCAGUUUUAUCCCAACUCUCCGAUGAUUAAUGGACCCUAAUAUGGCAUUCACCAGCUCUUGCACCCAUUGCUAUGUAAAACAUAUUGUCUUUCCCAUCAGUUCAAAAGAGACCAAAUACAAGGUGGCUGACAACUUGAGGAGGAGAGCACGAGGUGGAGGAUCUGCACCAGAAGGAGCAGCACUCCAACCAGCACCAACGACACAACCUAGAGGAGCAGCAACUACAGAUCGUGUCUAUUCCACCGGCCAUCAAUUAGCAACAAAGAACCUAGCCAAAAUUAACAAACCAUAACCACAUCCCCGUCUUCCAUCUUCGUCAGGUGGCCAAGGUGACAGCAAUUGAUGCGCACAGCGAACAUGUCACUGCUUGUCGAUCCAGCUGUGAAACGAUAAAUGGAUCAGGAACAUGCACACAACAAAUGGCUAGGAGGUGGCGGGCGAGAGCGAGCGGAAGAGCACCUGAAUGACGACGACAAUGGCGACC
This 650-nucleotide long non-coding RNA is filed under the name Triticum aestivum (bread wheat). RNAcentral's name for it is "long non-coding RNA (TAES_LNC002111)". The record is from RNAcentral. Lineage: Eukaryota; Viridiplantae; Streptophyta; Magnoliopsida; Poales; Poaceae.